AUUGAACGCUGGCGGCAGGCCUAACACAUGCAAGUCGAACGGUAACAGGAAACAGCUUGCUGUUUCGCUGACGAGUGGCGGACGGGUGAGUAAUGUCUGGGAAACUGCCUGAUGGAGGGGGAUAACUACUGGAAACGGUAGCUAAUACCGCAUAACGUCGCAAGACCAAAGAGGGGGACCCUCGGGCCUCUUGCCAUCGGAUGUGCCCAGAUGGGAUUAGCUUGUUGGUGGGUAACGGCUCACCAAGGCGACGAUCCCUAGCUGGUCUGAGAGGAUGGCCAGCCACACUGGAACUGAGACACGGUCCAGACUCCUACGGGAGGCAGCAGUGGGGAAUAUUGCACAAUGGGCGCAAGCCUGAUGCAGCCAUGCCGCGUGUAUGAAGAAGGCCUUCGGGUUGUAAAGUACUUUCAGCGGGGAGGAAGGGAGUAAAGUUAAUACCUUUGCUCAUUGACGUUACCCGCAGAAGAAGCACCGGCUAACUCCGUG
RNAcentral lists this ribosomal RNA (489 nucleotides) under uncultured bacterium. RNAcentral's name for it is "partial 16S ribosomal RNA". It matches the Rfam family "Bacterial small subunit ribosomal RNA", at positions 30 to 507 of the family's 1533-position model. The record is from RNAcentral.